GACGAACGCUGGCGGCGUGCUUAACACAUGCAAGUCGAGCGGAAAGGCCCUGCUUUUGUUGGGUGCUCGAUUGGCGAACGGGUGAGUGAAACGUGAGUAACCUCCCCUUGACUUUGUGAUAACUUCAGGAAACUGGGGCUAAUACCGGAUAUGAGCUCCUGCUGCAUGUGGGGGGUUGGAAAGAUUCGGCGGUUGGGGCUGGACUCGCGGCUUAUCAGCUUGUUGGUGGGGUAGUGGCUUACCAAGGCUUUGACGGGUAGCCGGCCUGAGAGGGUGACCGGCCACAUUGGGACUGAGAUACGGCCCAGACUCCUACGGGAGGCAGCAGUGGGGAAUAUUGCACAAUGGGCGGAAGCCUGAUGCAGCAACGCCGCGUGCGGGAUGACGGCCUUCGGGUUGUAAACCGCUUUCGCCUGUGACGAAGCGUGAGUGACGGUAAUGGGUAAAGAAGCACCGGCUAACUACGUG
RNAcentral lists this ribosomal RNA (468 nucleotides) under uncultured bacterium. Its description in RNAcentral is "partial 16S ribosomal RNA". It matches the Rfam family "Bacterial small subunit ribosomal RNA", at positions 28 to 507 of the family's 1533-position model. The record is from RNAcentral.